CAUUCUCAUGUUUAGAGUAAUUGAAAUGUCACCAGGGAAGGCAGCAGCAACAAGGAUCCUCCCGCCCUACAUAAGGUAAGUGGGGGGGAUAUUUAUUAACUAAUGUGCCCCCACCUCCACAAAUCACCCAAACAUACAGCACCCUCACACACAGCACACAAACAGCACCCUCACACACAGCACACGACACCCACAUACAGCACUCUAACAGGACCCUAACAAACAAACACACAGCACACUACCAGUACCCUCACAAACAGCACACGACACUCGCACACUUACAGGACCCUAACAAACACACAGCACACUACCAGUACCCUCACACACAGUACACUAACAGUACCCUCACAAACAGCACACGACACCCACACACAACACACUAACAGUACCCUCACAAAAACAGCACCCUCACAAACAGCACACUAACAGUACCAUCACAAACAGCACACAACACCCACAUACAGCACUCUAACAGGACCCUAACAAACAAACACACAGCACACUAACAGCACCCUCAUAAACAGCACACGACACCCACACACAGCACACUAACAGUACCCUCACAAACAGCACACGACACCCGCACAUUAACAGGACCCUAACAAACACACAACACACUACCAGCACCCUCACACACAGUACACUAACAGCACCCUCACACACAACACACUAACAGCACCAGCACACUAACAGGACCCUAACAAACACACAGCACACUAACAGUACUCUCACAAACACACCCUCACCCACAUAGCACACUACCAGCACCCUCACACACACAGCAGUGUGUGUAUGUAUAUAUAAUCUAUUACACCUUAUCACACAGAUCACAACUCCCAUCACUAAUCUAUUACACCUUAUCACACAGA
Pelobates cultripes (western spadefoot toad) is the source of this 869-nucleotide non-coding RNA. NCBI's taxonomy places the organism in Eukaryota, Metazoa, Chordata, Amphibia, Anura, Pelobatidae. The record is from the annotation of a GenBank genome assembly.